UCUACGGGAGGCAGCAGUGGAGAAUAUUGCACAAUGGGCGCAAGCCUGAUGCAGCCAUGCCGCGUGUAUGAAGAAGGCCUUCGGGUUGUAAAGUACUUUCAGCGGGGAGGAAGGUGUUGAGGUUAAUAACCUCAGCAAUUGACGUUACCCGCAGAAGAAGCACCGGCUAACUCCGUGCCAGCAGCCGCGGUAAUA
RNAcentral lists this ribosomal RNA (195 nucleotides) under uncultured bacterium. RNAcentral's name for it is "partial 16S ribosomal RNA". It matches the Rfam family "Bacterial small subunit ribosomal RNA", at positions 338 to 525 of the family's 1533-position model. The record is from RNAcentral.